CUAUGAUGCAAAGGAGCUUGUUACUUUUGAAAUCAGAAGCAGAACUUGAUGUCACCCUCAUGGUGCUGGUUUUACAGGGGUUCACAGCUAAAAGUUUGUCUUAAGUCUCAGGAUAGAUUUUGGACUUGGACUUUUCAGCAAUAUUGGAACUCUUGGGUCAGAAUGCCUUUCUACACAAACCAACCUAAUUCAUUUUCUGGGUGUAUAAAGCCCUCCUUAGAGGCCCAACAAGAAGAAAUCUUUGAAGGAGGAAGAAGAGAGCAAAUCAAGAAAACAACUAUAAAAUGUUAUGCCAGCGGCGUCAAUGUUUAAAAUUUUGCUCAUCGACGUAUGAGUGAAUAAGCGAAAUGUAACAGAGUAACAUUUAGCCUUAACAGGAAGGAAGUUCUGCGAGAUGGGACAACUUGGAUGAACCUUGCAGACAGUAUGCUAAGUGAAAUAAUCCA
Molecule: long non-coding RNA, 446 nt
Organism: Fukomys damarensis (Damara mole-rat)
Lineage: Eukaryota; Metazoa; Chordata; Mammalia; Rodentia; Bathyergidae
Exons: 3
Source: RefSeq, a predicted model, not a curated record